This 1183-nucleotide long non-coding RNA is filed under the name Eutrema salsugineum. RNAcentral describes it as "long non-coding RNA (ESAL_LNC000625)". The record is from RNAcentral. Lineage: Eukaryota; Viridiplantae; Streptophyta; Magnoliopsida; Brassicales; Brassicaceae.
AUCACCUCUUACCAUGUUUAAGACUAUGACUUUCAUUGAAUAUAAAGUUUAAAGUUGUCUGCAGAUGCUAGGAAGUUUAAAGUUUUUGCAUGAGUCCAUAUUAUGUGUUUUCUUUGACUCGGUUCUUGAGAUAAGUAUAUAUGGACUAAUCUUUCAUGUGUUUGGUGUUGCAGAGUUCGUUGUUUAUGUGCUAGACAAAGUACUCGCAAGGUGUUUGUUACACAUUACUGAAACCAAAAACACUUUGACACGCAGAUCUUCCAGUUUAUCGAUUAUGUUACAAGCUCGUUAAUUCAUAUGUUUCAGUGGCAUCAAAGGCAAAGAAGUAGGAGAUGAGAAGUUGGUAGGUGUUAUUGAUCUGUCAAACAUCACAUACAAGAACCUUGAUGCUCGUGGAUUGAUCACUGGCUUUCAGUUCUUACAAGUGAGCACCUCCUCUACUUUUAAUACAAUGUAAAUCUCACACAAAAAGAAGUCAAUGCUUCUAAAUUUUUCAAAUUUUCUUUAGUCUUACUACCCGGAACGCCUUGCGAAAUGCUACAUCUUACAUAUGCCGGGAUUCUUCGUGACUGUUUGGAGAUUCGUCUGCCGUUUCCUAGAGAAAACAACUCAGGAAAAGGUUUGAUCUUUAAUCAUCUCGUGAUGUAUCUAUCUCCACAAAUUCAUUUUUUAAGCAAAUCUGAAGCACGUUACUUUUUUUUUCCCUGGUUUUAUAGAUUGUAAUAGUAACAGACGGAGAAGAACAGAGAAAAUUUGAGGAGGAGGUUGGAUUAGAGGCUUUACCUGAAGAAUACGGAGGCCGAGCUAAGCUCACAUUAAUCCAAGAUGUCAUUCUUCCUCAGACUGCUCCACCAAUGUUACCAACAAACAAUAAUGCUUAAUUCUUAAUUCUUGGAAAAGCAUUUAACCCUUCAAACACUGAAUCCUGCUUUAAUACAUAUUAUCUCCCUACUGCUUUACUCUUUUUAUUCUGUAAUGAUUAGAACAAGAUAUCGUUAGAACUUUUCAACAACUUUAAUUUCCAAAAGAAGUAAUAUAAUGAAACACAUGAGAAAGUCGUGUGAAUAUACUCAAUCUGGUGAAAUAAUACCUUUUGUUUACUAGUUUCAGACAUCCCGCUGUUUCUAUUUAUUAGAUAAAAAACGUCUGUUGUUCUAAGGUCUCGGAUCAAAAAAGCCUGCUG